This 420-nucleotide ribosomal RNA is filed under the name uncultured bacterium. Its description in RNAcentral is "bacterial SSU rRNA". It matches the Rfam family "Bacterial small subunit ribosomal RNA", at positions 355 to 773 of the family's 1533-position model. The record is from RNAcentral.
UAAGGAAUAUUGGUCAAUGGACGCAAGUCUGAACCAGCCAUGCCGCGUGAAGGAUGAAGGUCCUCUGGAUUGUAAACUUCUUUUAUCUGGGACGAAAACGGGAUUUUUAUCUCAAUUGACGGUACCAGAGGAAUAAGCACCGGCUAACUCCGUGCCGGCAGCCGCGGUAGUACGGAGGGUGCGAGCGUUAUCCGGAUUUACUGGGUUUAAAGGGUGCGUAGGUGGGCUUAUAAGUCAGUGGUGAAAUCUCCGAGCUUAACUUGGAAACUGCCGUUGAUACUAUAGGUCUUGAAUUAUCUGGAGGUAAGCGGAAUAUGUCAUGUAGCGGUGAAAUGCUUAGAUAUGACAUAGAACACCAAUUGCGAAGGCAGCUUACUACAUAUAAAUUGACGCUGAGGCACGAAAGCGUGGGGAUCAAAC